GUCUAUGGCCAUGCCACCCUAAACAAGCCCAAUGUCUGAUCUCAGAAGCUAAGCAGGGUCGGGCCUGGUUAGUACUUGGAUGGAAGACCACCCAAGUACGAAUACGAGGUGCUGUAGGCA
RNAcentral lists this ribosomal RNA (120 nucleotides) under Pteropus alecto (black flying fox). The record is from RNAcentral. Lineage: Eukaryota; Metazoa; Chordata; Mammalia; Chiroptera; Pteropodidae.